RNAcentral lists this long non-coding RNA (814 nucleotides) under Mytilus galloprovincialis (Mediterranean mussel). The record is from RNAcentral. Lineage: Eukaryota; Metazoa; Mollusca; Bivalvia; Mytilida; Mytilidae.
ACCUUAAAGGGAAACUUCGCAAAAAAAUCAAAAAUUGAUAUUAUGUUUAUUCUGUAUAAAAAUGCUGAAGUUCAUAGAUAUUAAAGUUUUAUUCUGCUAGAUAAGAGAUCACCAUCGAUUUUAAAUUUAGAGUAUCAAUUCUCUGAGGUCAGCCAUUUUGUCACCUUCUCCGAUUUGCAGUCACGAUAUGUCUAAGGACCAAAACUACAGUAACCCGAUGUAGUCGUAAUUGCGUGUCGAUAUCUCGUCAAUCGUACGGUUGUUUUAUCCGACUAGUUAACUAGUUAACUAACUUGAUACGGAAAAUGUUCUUCUUUUUUUUUUUUAAAUAACCAUGAUCUGUUAUUUUUAGACUGAUAAUAUAGGAAUUUAAUAGUGAAAAAGUCAAAAUUUCAAAUCAUAAAUAAGUCUUCCGUGAAACUUGAAUUGUUUUCGGAAAUCUAAUUAGUUCAUAAUUCUUUUAUGUAAUAAACUUUAUUCAAAUAAAUUAGGAUCUUCGCUCCACUGAUCACCCGCAUGGCUAAAGGUAUUACUCCCAAAGAUAUUGUAGGGGGUGUGAGGUGACACGUCCAGGUAUUCAAGCGAUUUCCUGUCGAGUUUGCAAAUUCAUGCAUCGUUUCACUUCAUAGUGUAUUGAUAAGUGUACACGGCCGAUAACUUAUAACUUUCCAUUUUGAACUAUUAGGUGUAUAAUAUACAUCUCUAUCUUGCGUGUCCGAAAGUGAUAUUACUAAACUCAUACGCUUGUUUAUGAAUAACAUUUCUGGUGAAAAGAAAAUUAUUUAUAAAAAUAUAAAUAAUACCAAAAAAAAAC